GGCCGCGUGGCCUAAUGGCUAAGGCGCUAGAUUUCGGUCUCCAGCUUCCGAACUCUCUAGAGAUUCCAGGUUCGAAUCCUGGCGUGGUCG
Molecule: non-coding RNA, 90 nt
Organism: Fusarium oxysporum f. sp. cubense
Lineage: Eukaryota; Fungi; Ascomycota; Sordariomycetes; Hypocreales; Nectriaceae
Source: Rfam